GAUGGGAGCUUGCUCCCUGAUGUUAGCGGCGGACGGGUGAGUAACACGUGGGUAACCUGCCUGUAAGACUGGGAUAACUCCGGGAAACCGGGGCUAAUACCGGAUGGUUGUUUGAACCGCAUGGUUCAGACAUAAAAGGUGGCUUCGGCUACCACUUACAGAUGGACCCGCGGCGCAUUAGCUAGUUGGUGAGGUAACGGCUCACCAAGGCGACGAUGCGUAGCCGACCUGAGAGGGUGAUCGGCCACACUGGGACUGAGACACGGCCCAGACUCCUACGGGAGGCAGCAGUAGGGAAUCUUCCGCAAUGGACGAAAGUCUGACGGAGCAACGCCGCGUGAGUGAUGAAGGUUUUCGGAUCGUAAAGCUCUGUUGUUAGGGAAGAACAAGUGCCGUUCAAAUAGGGCGGCACCUUGACGGUACCUAACCAGAAAGCCACGGCUAACUACGUGCCAGCAGCCGCGGUAAUACGUAGGUGGCAAGCGUUGUCCGGAAUUAUUGGGCGUAAAGGGCUCGCAGGCGGUUUCUUAAGUCUGAUGUGAAAGCCCCCGGCUCAACCGGGGAGGGUCAUUGGAAACUGGGGAACUUGAGUGCAGAAGAGGAGAGUGGAAUUCCACGUGUAGCGGUGAAAUGCGUAGAGAUGUGGAGGAACACCAGUGGCGAAGGCGACUCUCUGGUCUGUAACUGACGCUGAGGAGCGAAAGCGUGGGGAGCGAACAGGAUUAGAUACCCUGGUAGUCCACGCCGUAAACGAUGAGUGCUAAGUGUUAGGGGGUUUCCGCCCCUUAGUGCUGCAGCUAACGCAUUAAGCACUCCGCCUGGGGAGUACGGUCGCAAGACUGAAACUCAAAGGAAUUGACGGGGGCCCGCACAAGCGG
This 878-nucleotide ribosomal RNA is filed under the name Bacillus amyloliquefaciens. Its description in RNAcentral is "bacterial SSU rRNA". It matches the Rfam family "Bacterial small subunit ribosomal RNA", at positions 71 to 932 of the family's 1533-position model. Lineage: Bacteria; Bacillati; Bacillota; Bacilli; Caryophanales; Bacillaceae. The record is from RNAcentral. RNAcentral also lists the same sequence under 1 other name.